AAACAUGUCUUAUAGAUUUUAAUUUUAAGUCUGACCUGCUCAAUGAUUAAUAUUAAAUUGCUAUAGUAUUUUAACUAUACAAAGGUAGCAUAAUAAUUUGUCUUUUAAUUGGAGGCUUGUAUGAAUGGUUGGACGAGAAGUAAUCUUUCUUAAUUUAAAUUAAAUUGAAUUUAAUAUUUUUGUAAAAAAGCUUAAAUGUAGUUGUGGGACGAGAAGACCCUUUAGAAUUUUAAUUAAAUUAGUAAUUUUUUAUUUUAGUGAAUAUUUUGUAAUAUUUUAUUAAUUUAAUUUUUGUUGGGGUGACAGUAAAAAUUUUUUAACUUUUAUUAUUAAAUUAAUCAUAAAUUAAUGUAUUAUUGAUCCUUUUUUUAAGAUUAAAAGAUUAAAUUACCUUAGGGAUAACAGCGUAAUUACUUUGGAGAGUUCUUAUCGAUAAAGUAGUUUGCGACC
Molecule: ribosomal RNA, 450 nt
Filed under: Dysdercus sp. WCW-2003d
Lineage: Eukaryota; Metazoa; Arthropoda; Insecta; Hemiptera; Pyrrhocoridae
Description: partial 16S ribosomal RNA
Source: RNAcentral